GCCCGAUUAGCUCAACGGAUAGAGCACCUGGCUUCGGACCAGGGGGUUAGGGGUUCGAAUCCUCUAUCGGGCGCCA
Molecule: transfer RNA, 76 nt
Filed under: Thermobaculum terrenum ATCC BAA-798
Lineage: Bacteria; Bacillati; Chloroflexota; Chloroflexia; Thermobaculales (SeqCode); Thermobaculaceae (SeqCode)
Also listed under: 1 other name
Description: tRNA-Arg (TCG) (tRNA-Arg-TCG-1-1)
Rfam family: tRNA
About the family: Transfer RNA (tRNA) molecules are approximately 80 nucleotides in length. Their secondary structure includes four short double-helical elements and three loops (D, anti-codon, and T loops). Further hydrogen bonds mediate the characteristic L-shaped molecular structure. tRNAs have two regions of fundamental functional importance: the anti-codon, which is responsible for specific mRNA codon recognition, and the 3' end, to which the tRNAs corresponding amino acid is attached (by aminoacyl-tRNA synthetases). tRNAs cope with the degeneracy of the genetic code in two manners: having more than one tRNA (with a specific anti-codon) for a particular amino acid; and 'wobble' base-pairing, i.e. permitting non-standard base-pairing at the 3rd anti-codon position.
Source: RNAcentral